RNAcentral lists this long non-coding RNA (248 nucleotides) under Citrus x clementina. RNAcentral's name for it is "Citrus clementina (C. clementina) long non-coding RNA (CCLE_LNC005250)". Lineage: Eukaryota; Viridiplantae; Streptophyta; Magnoliopsida; Sapindales; Rutaceae. The record is from RNAcentral.
UUGGAAUGUGUAACCCUUGCCAUCAAAUAUAUAAAUAGACAAUGAAUCAUCCCACUUUCCACGUUACAAACAUGAUGUCACACAUCUACCUAGACAGGCAUUUCGGUUACAUUACCAAUAAUGCACAUCUAAUCACAAACUGUACUUCUAGGAGAGCUAUCAUGGUACAGUAAUCGUAGCAACUUCAUGGGUCAUGGCUACACUAGCUCUGUGGUGACCACUGAACUCUACAGCUACGGCUGUUUUGU